UUCCGGUUGAUCCUGCCGGACCUGACUGCUAUCGGAUUGAUACUAAGCCAUGCGAGUCAUUGUAGCAAUACAAGGCAUACGGCUCAGUAACGCGUAGUCAACCUGCCCUAUGGACGGGAAUAAUCUCGGGAAACUGAGAAUAAUGCCCGAUAGAACAUUAUGCCUGGAAUGGUUUAUGUUCCAAAUGAUUUAUCGCCGUAGGAUGGGACUGGGCCUAUCAGUUUGUUGGUGAGGUAAUGGCCCACCAAGACUAUUACAGGUACGGGCUCUGAGAGGAGUAGCCCGGAGAUGGGUACUGAGACACGGACCCAGGCCCUAUGGGGCGCAGCAGGCGAGAAAACUUUGCAAUGUGCGAAAGCACGACAAGGUUAAUCCGAGUGGUUUGUGCUAAACGAACCUUUUGUCAGUCCUAGAAACACUAMCGAAUAAGGGGUGGGCAAGUUCUGGUGUCAGCCGCCGCGGUAAAACCAGCACCUCAAGUGGUCAGGAUGAUUAUUGGGCCUAAAGCAUCCGUAGCCGGUUCUGUAAGUUUUCGGUUAAAUCUGUACGCUCAACGUACAGGCUGCCGGGAAUACUGUAGAACUAGGGAGUGGGAGAGGUAGACGGUACUCGAUAGGAAGGGGUAAAAUCCUUUGAUCUAUUGAUGACCACCUGUGGCGAAGGCGGUCUACCAGAACACGUCCGACGGUGAGGGAUGAAAGCUGGGGGAGCAAACCGGAUUAGAUACCCGGGUAGUCCCAGCUGUAAACUAUGCAAACUCAGUGAUGCAUUGGCUUGUGGCCAAUGCAGUGCUGCAGGGAAGCCGUUAAGUUUGCCGCCUGGGAAGUACGUACGCAAGUAUGAAACUUAAAGGAAUUGGCGGG
Molecule: ribosomal RNA, 863 nt
Filed under: uncultured crenarchaeote
Lineage: Archaea; Thermoproteati; Thermoproteota
Description: bacterial SSU rRNA
Rfam family: Archaeal small subunit ribosomal RNA
Source: RNAcentral